This 959-nucleotide ribosomal RNA is filed under the name fungal endophyte. Its description in RNAcentral is "eukaryotic LSU rRNA". The stretch from base 462 to 959 matches the Rfam family "Eukaryotic large subunit ribosomal RNA", at positions 1 to 503 of the family's 3401-position model. The record is from RNAcentral. Lineage: Eukaryota; Fungi.
AUAGCUUCACGGCUGAUGAGCAGCAGGCCUUCUUUCCACACCCUUGUCUUUUGCGUACCCAUGUUUCCUCGGUAGGCUUGCCUGCCGAUUGGACAAUCUAUAACCUUUUUAAUUUUUAAUCAGCGUCUGAAAAACUUAAUAAUUACAACUUUCAACAACGGAUCUCUUGGUUCUGGCAUCGAUGAAGAACGCAGCGAAAUGCGAUAAGUAGUGUGAAUUGCAGAAUUCAGUGAAUCAUCGAAUCUUUGAACGCACAUUGCGCCCCUUGGUAUUCCAUGGGGCAUGCCUGUUCGAGCGUCAUUUGUACCUUCAAGCUUUGCUUGGUGUUGGGUGUUUGUCCUCUCCUUGGUGUUUGGACUCGCCUUAAAACAAUUGGCAGCCAGUGUUUUGGUAUUGAAGCGCAGCACAAUUUGCGAUUCUGGCCUUAAAAUACUAGCGUCCAUAAAGUAUUUUCUCACUUUUGACCUCGGAUCAGGUAGGGAUACCCGCUGAACUUAAGCAUAUCAAUAAGCGGAGGAAAAGAAACCAACAGGGAUUGCCCUAGUAACGGCGAGUGAAGCGGCAACAGCUCAAAUUUGAAAUCUGGCUCUUUCAGGGUCCGAGUUGUAAUUUGCAGAGGGCGCUUUGGCGUUGGCAGCGGUCCAAGUUCUUUGGAACAGGACGUCACAGAGGGUGAGAAUCCCGUACGUGGUCGCUAGCCUUCGCCGUGUAAAGCCCCUUCGACGAGUCGAGUUGUUUGGGAAUGCAGCUCUAAAUGGGAGGUAAAUUUCUUCUAAAGCUAAAUACUGGCCAGAGACCGAUAGCGCACAAGUAGAGUGAUCGAAAGAUGAAAAGCACUUUGGAAAGAGAGUCAAAUAGCACGUGAAAUUGUUGAAAGGGAAGCGCUUGCAGCCAGACUUGCCUGUAGUUGCUUAUCCGGACUUUUGUCCGGUGCACUCUUCUGCGGGCAGGCCAGCAUC